Molecule: ribosomal RNA, 58 nt
Filed under: Pleurotus nebrodensis
Lineage: Eukaryota; Fungi; Basidiomycota; Agaricomycetes; Agaricales; Pleurotaceae
Description: partial 28S ribosomal RNA
Source: RNAcentral
GUCCGCAAGGACAAUUUGAUAAUUGACCUCAAAUCAGUACGACUUAGGCGACGCCGUU